RNAcentral lists this ribosomal RNA (254 nucleotides) under uncultured bacterium. RNAcentral describes it as "partial 16S ribosomal RNA". It matches the Rfam family "Bacterial small subunit ribosomal RNA", at positions 524 to 776 of the family's 1533-position model. The record is from RNAcentral.
UACGUAGGGGGCCAGCGUUGUCCGAAGUUACUGGGCGUAAAGAGCGUGUAGGCGGGUCUUUAAGUGAGAGGUGAAAGGUUCAGGGCUCAACCCGAACACUGCCUUUCAUACUGGGGACCUUGAGGGCAGGAGAGGCGAGUGGAAUGGUCGGUGUAGCGGUGAAAUGCGUAGAUAUCGAUCGGAACACCCAUGGCGAAGGCAGCUCGCUGGCCUGCAUCUGACGCUGAGACGCGAAAGCGUGGGGAGCAAACAGG